Molecule: ribosomal RNA, 446 nt
Filed under: uncultured bacterium
Lineage: Bacteria
Description: partial 16S ribosomal RNA
Rfam family: Bacterial small subunit ribosomal RNA
Source: RNAcentral
CCUACGGGUGGCAGCAGUCGAGAAUCAUUCACAAUGGGGGAAACCCUGAUGGUGCGACGCCGCGUGGGGGAAUGAAGGUCUUCGGAUUGUAAACCCCUGUCAUGUGGGCGCAAAUUAAAAAGAUAGUACCACAAGAGGAAGAGACGGCUAACUCUGUGCCAGCAGCCGCGGUAAUACAGAGGUCUCAAGCGUGGUUCGGAAUCACUGGGCGUAAAGCGUGCGUAGGCUGUUUCGUAAGUCGGGUGUGAAAGGCGCGGGCUCAACCCGCGGACGGCACAUGAUACUGCGAGACUAGAGUAAGGGAGGGGGAACCGGAAUUCUCGGUGUAGCAGUGAAAUGCGUAGAUAUCGAGAGGAACACUCGUGGCGAAGGCGGGUUCCUGGACAUUAACUGACGCUGAGGCACGAAGGCCAGGGGAGCGAAAGGGAUUAGAUACCCUUGUAGUC